Molecule: non-coding RNA, 511 nt
Organism: Podarcis lilfordi (Lilford's wall lizard)
Lineage: Eukaryota; Metazoa; Chordata; Lepidosauria; Squamata; Lacertidae
Source: the annotation of a GenBank genome assembly
CCAAACACUUCUGGAGAACUCACCAUGGGCCAAUUUCUAUUUCUCCUUGCUCUUUUCACUUACUGCUCAGGUAGGACUGUGGAGAUGACCUCAUGAUAUGUAGACCAAGCGAAGCUCUUUGUAUUUAUCAAUGGAAUAUAUUACUUGGUGGGUGUUUGAAAGUGCAUCCGGCUCAUAGUACCUGUUCUUUCUGGUUUUCCUUUUAGAAGGUGUCACUUCCCAGUCAGCUUGGACUCAGCCUGCCUCUGAGUCGGCGACCCUGGGACAAACAGCUAAACUCUCCUGUACCACUAAUGAUGGCAGCGAAAUAAUUCACUGGUAUCAACAGAGAUCUGGAGAAGCCCCUCUCUUUCUGCACUGUGAGGGUUGCAGCAACAGGGGAGAAGGGAUCCCAGAUCGGUUCACUGCUUCCCGUUCUGGGAGCAUUGGCUAUUUGACCAUCACCAACAUCCAGGCUAGAGACGAGGCAGUUUAUUACUGUGGUAGGUGGAAUACGGCUGGUAUCGUGUUC